Molecule: ribosomal RNA, 485 nt
Filed under: uncultured bacterium
Lineage: Bacteria
Description: partial 16S ribosomal RNA
Rfam family: Bacterial small subunit ribosomal RNA
Source: RNAcentral
AGUGAACGCUGGCGGCGUGCUUAACACAUGCAAGUCGAACGAGAACGGAAUAUAGCUUGCUAUAUUUGUCAGCUAAGUGGCGCACGGGUGAGUAAUGUAUAGAUAACCUGCCCUUAAGAAAGGAAUAACAGUUGGAAACGACUGCUAAUGCCCUAUAUGCCUUUAAUACAUAAGUAUGCAAGGGAAACGCUUUAGUGCUAGAGGAUGGGUCUGUAUGGUAUCAGCUUGUUGGUGAGGUAAUGGCUCACCAAGGCUAUGACGCCUAACUGGUUUGAGAGGAUGAUCAGUCACACUGGAACUGAGACACGGUCCAGACUCCUACGGGAGGCAGCAGUGGGGAAUAUUGAACAAUGGACGAAAGUCUGAUGCAGCAACGCCGCGUGGAGGAUGACACAUUUCGGUGCGUAAACUCCUUUUAUAUAGGAAGAUAAUGACGGUACUAUAUGAAUAAGCACCGGCUAACUCCGUGCCAGCAGCCGCCGUAA